Molecule: ribosomal RNA, 253 nt
Filed under: uncultured bacterium
Lineage: Bacteria
Description: partial 16S ribosomal RNA
Rfam family: Bacterial small subunit ribosomal RNA
Source: RNAcentral
UACAGAGGGGGCAAGCGUUAUUCGGAAUUAUUGGGCGUAAAGGGCGCGUAGGCGGCUUCGCAAGUGACGGGUGAAAUCCCUCGGCUUAACCGAGGAACUGCCUGUCAAACUGCGUGGCUUGAGACCAGGAGAGGUGAGUGGAAUUCCCAGUGUAGCGGUGAAAUGCGUAGAUAUUGGGAGGAACACCAGUGGCGAAGGCGGCUCACUGGACUGGUACUGACGCUGAGGCGCGAAAGCGUGGGGAGCGAACAGG